UGCACAGUGAGAAUCGUGAAGGGAGCA
This 27-nucleotide non-coding RNA is filed under the name Rattus norvegicus (Norway rat). The record is from RNAcentral. Lineage: Eukaryota; Metazoa; Chordata; Mammalia; Rodentia; Muridae.